GAUGAAGAACGCAGCGAAAUGCGAUAAGUAAUGUGAAUUGCAGAAUUCAGUGAAUCAUCGAAUCUUUGAACGCACCUUGCACUCCUUGGUAUUCCGAGGAGUACGCCUGUUCGAGUGUUAUGAAGCUCUCAAAACGCAAUUGGCUUAAAACCUGAUUGUUGUUUUGGAUUUGAACUUUGCCGUGUUAUAACGGCUGGUUUUAAAAGUAUUAGCUGGUACUAGAACGAAUUGGUUCUACUCAACGUGAUAAUUAUCUGAUCGUUGAGGACAUUCCUUUCACGAGGAAUGGCCAUAGUAAAUACAAUGGACUGCUUCUAAUCUGGCUUUAAUUCUUUAUUGGAUUAACCACUUUUCAAAUCUGACCUCGAAUCAGGUGGGACUACCCGCUGAACUUAAGCAUAUCAAUAAGCGGAGGA
This 416-nucleotide unclassified non-coding RNA is filed under the name soil metagenome. RNAcentral describes it as "partial contains 5.8S ribosomal RNA, internal transcribed spacer 2, and large subunit ribosomal RNA". The stretch from base 1 to 120 matches the Rfam family "5.8S ribosomal RNA", at positions 35 to 154 of the family's 154-position model. The record is from RNAcentral.